This 492-nucleotide ribosomal RNA is filed under the name uncultured bacterium. Its description in RNAcentral is "partial 16S ribosomal RNA". It matches the Rfam family "Bacterial small subunit ribosomal RNA", at positions 28 to 507 of the family's 1533-position model. The record is from RNAcentral.
GAUGAACGCUAGCUACAGGCUUAACACAUGCAAGUCGAGGGGAAACGGCAUCGAAAGCUUGCUUUUGAUGGGCGUCGACCGGCGCACGGGUGAGUAACGCGUAUCCAACCUGCCCAUCACUUGGGAAUAACCUUGCGAAAGUAAGACUAAUGCCCAAUGACAUCCCACGAAGGCAUCCGAAUGGGAUUAAAGAUUUAUCGGUGAUGGAUGGGGAUGCGUCUGAUUAGCUUGUUGGCGGGGUGACGGCCCACCAAGGCAAUGAUCAGUAGGGGUUCUGAGAGGAAGGUCCCCCACAUUGGAACUGAGACACGGUCCAAACUCCUACGGGAGGCAGCAGUGAGGAAUAUUGGUCAAUGGGCGAGAGCCUGAACCAGCCAAGUAGCGUGCAGGAUGACGGCCCUAUGGGUUGUAAACUGCUUUUAUAAGGGAAUAAAGUGGGUCACGUGUGACUUUUUGCAUGUACCUUAUGAAUAAGGACCGGCUAAUUCCGUG